GCGAGUUACGAUCUGAUGCAAGGUUAAGCAGAAAAUGUGGAGCCGUAGCGAAAGCGAGUCUGAAUAGGGCGAAUGAGUAUUUGGUCGUAGACCCGAAACCAGGUGAUCUACCCUUGGUCAGGUUGAAGUUCAGGUAACACUGAAUGGAGGACCGAACCGACUUACGUUGAAAAGUGAGCGGAUGAACUGAGGGUAGCGGAGAAAUUCCAAUCGAACUUGGAGAUAGCUGGUUCUCUCCGAAAUAGCUUUAGGGCUAGCCUCAAGUGAUGAUUAUUGGAGGUAGAGCACUGUUUGGACGAGGGGCCCCUCUCGGGUUACCGAAUUCAGACAAACUCCGAAUGCCAAAUAAUUUAACUUGGGAGUCAGAAUGUGGGUGAUAAGGUCCAUAUUCGAAAGGGAAACAGCCCAGACCACCAGCUAAGGUCCCAAAAUAUAUGUUAAGUGGAAAAGGAUGUGGCGUUGCCCAGACAACUAGGAUGUUGGCUUAGAAGCAGCCAUCAUUUAAAGAGUGCGUAAUAGCUCACUAGUCGAGUGACACUGCGCCGAAAAUGUACCGGGGCUAAACAUAUUACCGAAGCUGUGGAUUGUCCUUUGGACAAUGGUAGGAGAGCGUUCUAAGGGCGUUGAAGCAUGAUCGCAAGGACAUGUGGAGCGCUUAGAAGUGAGAAUGCCGGUGUGAGUAGCGAAAGACGGGUGAGAAUCCCGUCCACCGAUUGACUAAGGUUUCCAGAGGAAGGCUCGUCCGCUCUGGGUUAGUCGGGUCCUAAGCUGAGGCCGACAGGCGUAGGCGAUGGAUAACAGGUUGA
RNAcentral lists this ribosomal RNA (806 nucleotides) under Staphylococcus pseudintermedius. RNAcentral's name for it is "partial 23S ribosomal RNA". It matches the Rfam family "Bacterial large subunit ribosomal RNA", at positions 623 to 1433 of the family's 2925-position model. The record is from RNAcentral. Lineage: Bacteria; Bacillati; Bacillota; Bacilli; Caryophanales; Staphylococcaceae.